This 69-nucleotide transfer RNA is filed under the name Chrosomus eos (northern redbelly dace). Its description in RNAcentral is "tRNA-His". It matches the Rfam family "tRNA". From Rfam's summary of the family: Transfer RNA (tRNA) molecules are approximately 80 nucleotides in length. Lineage: Eukaryota; Metazoa; Chordata; Actinopteri; Cypriniformes; Leuciscidae. The record is from RNAcentral.
GUAAGUAUAGUUUAACCAAAAUAUUAGACUGUGAUUCUAAAGACGGGAGUUAAAAUCUCCUUACUCACC